CACCUGCUCCUAAUAGUUGAGGGAAGUAAUAGGGUUACUUUGAUUUUCAGUUGUGCUAGUCUCUUCUCAAUACAAGCCUAGCUUCUUUCAGGUCCUGUUAGAACAACAUUGUUUUUGCCUUACCCAAGGUAAAUUGGGCCCAAGGAUGUUGUCCGAUACACAUAGAUUACCAAAUGAAAUGUGGUUAAUGCAUAUAAAAUAUGCCAAGAUUAAUCCAAAAAGGGGAAUGAAGACAAUCCUUAAGUCAGACUGCCUCAAGGGAAUCUGCGCCGGAAGGUGCUGCAGGUCAUUGCAGACCACUCCCAUCACCAUCUCAUCUAGAGCAUGAAGAGUUCCUCUCUUCGGACUAGGGAUGGAGAACAUGUUGGGAUACAAUAGGGUUCUGGGGCCUGCUUCUGUGACAUUUGAAUACACUCAACUUUAUUUGAAACAGAACUGACGGGAUCCCAAAUUGUUGAACUCCUUGAUAAAAAUUCGCCUGCUCGGCUCAAUGGUAGAGUUCUUCUGAUCUUUUAAAGUGAACUUAAUUGACACCUUGAACUGGGAAAAAAAUAAAACAACCCCAAACCUGGCUUGAUUCUGUUUUGGGUGAGGGUCAUCUCAGAAUGGCUAAGACUUGAGGAGGAAGGAUGGUCCAGUGGCUAAGGACCAGCUUGAGACCUGGGUUCAAUUGCCUGCUCUGUCAAAGUGUCAUAGACUUUACAGUCGAAGGGACCAUCAUGUGUCUGUGCCUCAAUUCGCCAUCUCAUGGGGUAUUUGCGAGGAGCCCAGAUACUAUGGUAACAGAGGCCAUGUUAGAUGUAUCAUCUUGUCUGGAGUAAGAGAUCAGAAGCUGGUAUUGCUACAGUUCAGUGGAUAUUGUAUUCACUUUUAUCAACUCCCCUGGGAGAAACUGACAAUUGGAAUGCUGCAUCAAAGAUCAAUGGAAGAACUUCAGCUUGACAGAAAACAUGCAGACCCACGAACCACAAAGAAACUUUGGCCUCUAAGCAGUAACGGAGGAGCAUACUUAAGUAGGAGCAGAGGUAAAUGGAUUCCUGCAAUUCAAGCGAGGGGACGCCAGACUUGAAUGAAACACAGGGAACUUUCAGGCGAAAACGAAUGGCUGUUCCUCAUUACGAGAGACAUUUUGAGAAGUCUGCUUCUGGCUUUCAUUGGCACUGGUGUAAAUCUGAAGCAAUGCCAUCCACUUCAGUGGUGUCAUGGCAAUUAGCCCCAGUGGAAAGGAGAAUCUGGUGCAAUGUGAACUCAGUAUUAUGAUACUAAGAAUGGAAGAUGUUUAGCUCACACGCUUAACAAAACCCCUUUGCUUUUGCUGCAACCUCCAGGUUGGAGUUUUUUCCUUGUUAGUUGACUACCGGUUAGCUGGAAGGACUUAGCACCUUGCUAAAGGCUAGUCUGAACCCUCUCCUAAGGUUUGUUCUAAGCUUACAAGCGUUUGUCCAGGGUAUGUCGAGCCUGGGAGAAAGGUGUGCUUUUAAAACAGGACAUAUUUUAAUAUCCUAGUGUAAACAUGGCAAAGAGCUCACACGCUUGUUAGCUGGUUGAGAUGAACCCUAGAGACUGGGAGAGCUGGGUUGCCGACUAGUAUCCAGGUUGUUUGACUUGUGGCUUGCUGCUUGCCAUCUGCCAUGCUUCAUUUGCCAUUUGCAAUAGUCAACACCCCCUUCCUGCUCCUCCCUUCUUGAUACAUUCACUGCCUCCUGUUAACUGAGCACCAAUGGCUGGCUCUGCCAUUCUCUUCCCUUACCCUGCUUCACAUCUGAUUUCUCCUCAUCUCAGGCCUCCUCUUCCUUUUCCCAUUUCCACCUGUGUCCCAUCAUGUUCCUCCUCAAUCAUCCCUCCCACAAGUUCUGUCCCUUCCUCAUUUCCCCUUUGUCCCUGCCUGCCUGUCCUCUCAGUAAAAAUAAUACAAACUAUACAUCCAUUUAGUGGAAUGAAAUGGGAGGGAAUUAAAACCGGAGCCAGCAAGAAGCAAGUCUAAACUGAACAAACAUUAAGCGCUGUUCUCCCCUAUUCUCUCUCCAUCCCACAUUCUGAUCAAUUUACUCACUAGAGAGAUACUCAGAGUAAGGGAAGGACUUGCAGGAUCAGGCCCUUUGAUUGUAAACUCUUCAGGGCAGGGACAGUGUCCUCAGCCAAGUCUCCGGCAUGCCAGGCACUCACAUGGUGGCGUAAAUAAUAAUCACGGCUGCUUGGGCUCAUCUCUUUUCCAGGUGGGUAGUGACAUUAAUGUUUAAGGAGAACAUCCAUGAGAGUCCCAGGCAGUCUACAGAGUAGGUGAGACGAGGACACACAAUUUGCUCUCCUGGUCUAUUUGCUAUUAAAUUGUCAAAUAUUAGAUUUUUCUAAAAAUUAUGAUGUCCCUUUGGUGGCCAUUACCAACACAGGCCAUUGUCUGGGUAUUUGAUGUACUAGAGAACGCACCAUAACUGAAAACUGUAGACUUCAUGGAACUUCUAAAGAGUUGUUCUAAUUCCAUCCUUUUCGGUCACUCUCUGACAUUGGGCUACAAGGACUCCCUCUGGUGGAUAAUUUAACACCUGCAAAUACAUAUAGAAUUUUUUUUUAAACCACAUAUUGUGUAAGUCUGCUGUAUAAGGGGACUGGCUUACAUAAAAGCCUGCGAAUUUAAAGUCUGUUGUUUUGGGAGUUUUUGAACGUGUAAUUCUGGGGAACUGGAUGUCUCAGGACUUGAUAACUGGAUUAUAGAACCUUCCUUUCUAGGCCAAUAGCCCAAAUCUCAUCCAGGCUAAUAGUAGCUGAAUUACCUUUCGAUAGACCACAGACCAACGUGAAAUGAGUUACCUUGCUUCUGUCCAGUUCCCCUUGUACAGUUGUCAAGAAUUAUUUUUUUAAAUUCUUUCUUCUUUACCAUCCAGCCGUAAGAACAAAGCGAUUGGUUGCCACGGAACCCCUGUCCUAUGCAAACUAUGCAACUCUCAGGUCUGACCUGUCCCUAUCUGCAGCAGUGGACUAGUGGAUGUUAUCCAUAGACAGAGAAUGGCCAUGUAUUUUUAGUCUAAGUGACUUCCAUUUUAGAUUAAUGGAACACGAAAAAGCGAAUGCAGAACAAACGCGCAGUC
Chelonia mydas (Green sea turtle) is the source of this 3086-nucleotide long non-coding RNA. RefSeq lists it as uncharacterized. The record is from RefSeq and is a predicted model, not a curated record. NCBI's taxonomy places the organism in Eukaryota, Metazoa, Chordata, Testudines, Cheloniidae. The transcript is spliced from 4 exons.